This 277-nucleotide ribosomal RNA is filed under the name uncultured bacterium. RNAcentral describes it as "partial 16S ribosomal RNA". It matches the Rfam family "Bacterial small subunit ribosomal RNA", at positions 30 to 312 of the family's 1533-position model. The record is from RNAcentral.
CCUGAACGCUGGCGGCGUGGCUAAGACAUGCAAGUCGUACGGGCGCAGCAAUGCGUCAGUGGCGGACGGGUGAGUAAUGAAUCGCUAACGUGCCCCGGACACUGGGAUAGCCGCCCGAAAGGGCAGGUAAUACCAGAUGAUAUGUUCCUGUCGCAUGGCAGGAACCUCAAAGGAGCAAUCCGGUCUGGGAGCGGGCGAUUUCGUAUCAGCUUGUUGGUGAGGUAACGGCUCACCAAGGCGACGACGCGUAGCCGGACUGAGAGGUUGGCCGGCCACA